CGGAUGAACGCUAGCUACAGGCUUAACACAUGCAAGUCGAGGGGUAACGAGAGGGAAGCUUGCUUUCCUUGUCGACGACCGGCGCACGGGUGAGUAACGCGUAUCCAACCUGCCCACAACUAGAGAAUAACCUUGCGAAAGUAAGACUAAUGCUCUAUAAUUUCCUUAGAUGGCAUCUGACGAGGAAUAAAGAUUUAUCGGUUAUGGAUGGGGAUGCGUCUGAUUAGCUUGUUGGCGGGGUAACGGCCCACCUAAGGCAACGAUCAGUAGGGGUUCUGAGAGGAAGGUCCCCCACAUUGGAACUGAGACACGGUCCAAACUCCUACGGGAGGCAGCAGUGAGGAAUAUUGGUCAAUGGGCGCAAGCCUGAACCAGCCAAGUAGCGUGCAGGAUGACGGCCCUAUGGGUUGUAAACUGCUUUUAUACAGGGAUAAAGUUAGUCACGUGUGGCUAUUUGCAGGUACUGUAUGAAUAAGGACCGGCUAAUUCCGUG
RNAcentral lists this ribosomal RNA (493 nucleotides) under uncultured bacterium. Its description in RNAcentral is "bacterial SSU rRNA". It matches the Rfam family "Bacterial small subunit ribosomal RNA", at positions 27 to 507 of the family's 1533-position model. The record is from RNAcentral.